UACGUAGGGUGCAAGCGUUGUCCGGAUUUAUUGGGCGUAAAGAGCUCGUAGGCGGCUCAUUGCGUCAACCGUGAAAACCUGCCGCUCAACGGUAGGCUUGCGGUUGAUACGGGUGGGCUGGAGUUCGGUAGGGGAGACUGGAAUUCCUGGUGUAGCGGUGAAAUGCGCAGAUAUCAGGAGGAACACCGGUGGCGAAGGCGGGUCUCUGGGCCGAUACUGACGCUGAGGAGCGAAAGCGUGGGGAGCGAACAGG
Molecule: ribosomal RNA, 253 nt
Filed under: uncultured bacterium
Lineage: Bacteria
Description: partial 16S ribosomal RNA
Rfam family: Bacterial small subunit ribosomal RNA
Source: RNAcentral